UGCAUAAUGUGCAAAUAAUUUCUCCCAGUCUGCAGGUUGUCUGCUUAUUCUGUUGAUUGUUUCUUUCGCUGUGCAGACGCUGUAGUUCAAGUGAGUCUCAUUUGUCUAUUUUUUGUUUUUGUUGCAUUUGCCUUUGAGGUCUUAGUCAUAAGUUCUUCACCUAGGCCAAUGUCCAGAAGAGUUUUCCCUAGAUUUUCUUCUAGGAUCUUUAUAAUUUGAGGUCUUACAUUUGAGUCUUUGGCACAUCCUGAGGUAGUUUUUGUAUAUGGUGAGUAUUAGAGGCCCAAUUUCAUUCUUCUGCAUAUACCUAGUCAGUUUUUCC
Molecule: long non-coding RNA, 322 nt
Filed under: Homo sapiens (human)
Lineage: Eukaryota; Metazoa; Chordata; Mammalia; Primates; Hominidae
Description: LHRI_LNC2076.1
Source: RNAcentral